Arachis ipaensis is the source of this 607-nucleotide non-coding RNA. The record is from RefSeq and is a predicted model, not a curated record. Lineage: Eukaryota; Viridiplantae; Streptophyta; Magnoliopsida; Fabales; Fabaceae.
GGGUGAUUACAUCAAAGGCCAAGUAAUAGGGUAUCUGGAUCAGUUUGGCACUUCACUUCCUGUUAAGGUGAUCAGAAAUUGCAACAGAGAUUACAACAAGUGUAUCAAGUAGCAAAACCUUUUACACUGAUUCCAAUGGACGCGAUUUCAUCGAAAGGAUUUGAGACUAUAGAAAAGACUGGAAAUUGCAAGUAAAUCAACUUGUUGCUGGAAAUUAUUACCCUAUCAACCUUGGGAUUUACCUGAAAGAUAAAAGUAAAGAGCUCUCUAUAUUGGUAGAUAGGUCUGUAGGGGGAUCCAGCAUCAAAGAUGGGCAAUUAGAACUAAUUGUUAAAUUCCUCUGAAAUUGAAUGGAGCGUCAGGGUGGCUCAUUAAGGAAUGUUGAUUCUGCUCGUGUUUCAAAUCCCCAGCACCUUUUACUGCUGAUAUCAGGCAAGAAGUGUAGCCCUUUUUCAAUUGCAUUAAGAGAUAUAAAGCAACACGACAUUACUCAAAGCAUGCGCGGGAUACUAGUUGAUUGGCUUGUAGAGAUUUGCAUAAUGUAAUUUUUCUCAUAUAAUACAAUGUUAUGAAUUAUAGCUGAUAAAUUUAGUACGGUUGAACAAUA